GAUGAACGCUGGCGGCGUGCUUAACACAUGCAAGUCGAACGAAGCACUUUAUUUGAUUUCCUUCGGGACUGAUUAUUUUGUGACUGAGUGGCGGACGGGUGAGUAACGCGUGGGUAGCCUGCCUUGUACAGGGGGAUAACAGUUGGAAACGGCUGCUAAUACCGCAUAAGCGCACGGCAUCGCAUGAUGCAGUGUGAAAAACUCCGGUGGUAUAAGAUGGACCCGCGUUGGAUUAGCUAGUUGGUGAGGUAACGGCCCACCAAGGCGACGAUCCAUAGCCGACCUGAGAGGGUGACCGGCCACAUUGGGACUGAGACACGGCCCAAACUCCUACGGGAGGCAGCAGUGGGGAAUAUUGCACAAUGGGCGAAAGCCUGAUGCAGCGACGCCGCGUGAGCGAAGAAGUAUUUCGGUAUGUAAAGCUCUAUCAGCAGGGAAGAUAAUGACGGUACCUGACUAAGAAGCCCCGGCUAACUACGUG
RNAcentral lists this ribosomal RNA (481 nucleotides) under uncultured bacterium. RNAcentral describes it as "partial 16S ribosomal RNA". It matches the Rfam family "Bacterial small subunit ribosomal RNA", at positions 28 to 507 of the family's 1533-position model. The record is from RNAcentral.